This is an RNA transcript of Cinclus cinclus, 1748 nucleotides long. It is a transcript of the gene named vacuolar protein sorting 4 homolog A, with no coding region annotated. Lineage: Eukaryota; Metazoa; Chordata; Aves; Passeriformes; Cinclidae. The transcript has 12 exons. The record is from RefSeq and is a predicted model, not a curated record.
GUCGCCGCCGCCGCCGCCUCCGCUGUCCCGGGGCCGCCGGAGCGGCCGCACCGGGCGAUGCGAUGACAACGUCCACCCUGCAGAAAGCCAUCGACCUGGUCACCAAAGCCACUGAGGAGGACAAGGCCAAGAACUACGAGGAGGCACUGCGGCUGUACCAGCACGCCGUGGAGUACUUCCUGCACGCCAUCAAAUAUGAGGCUCACAGUGACAAGGCCAAGGAGAGCAUCAGGGCCAAGUGCAUGCAGUACCUGGACCGGGCGGAGAAGCUGAAGGAGUACCUGCGGAGCAAGGACAGGCACGGCAAGAGGCCCGUCAGGGAGGCACAGAAUGACAACAAGGGGAGUGACAGUGACAGCGAGGGCGAGAACCCUGAGAAGAAGAAGCUGCAGGAGCAGCUGAUGGGUGCCAUCAUGAUGGAGAAGCCCAACGUGCGGUGGAGCGAUGUGGCCGGGCUGGAGGGAGCCAAGGAAGCCCUGAAAGAGGCUGUGAUCCUGCCCAUCAAGUUCCCACACCUGUUCACAGGGAAGCGCACGCCCUGGCGCGGGAUCCUGCUCUUUGGGCCGCCUGGCACCGGCAAGUCCUACCUGGCCAAGGCUGUGGCCACUGAGGCAAACAACUCCACCUUCUUCUCUGUGUCAUCCUCUGACCUGAUGUCGAAGUGGCUGGGGGAGAGUGAGAAGCUGGUGAAGAAUCUCUUUGAGCUGGCAAGGCAGCACAAGCCCUCCAUCAUCUUCAUCGAUGAGGUGGACUCACUAUGUGGCUCCCGCAAUGAGAAUGAAAGUGAGGCAGCCCGGCGCAUCAAGACUGAGUUCCUGGUGCAGAUGCAAGGUGUGGGAAACAGCAGCGAUGGGAUCCUGGUGCUGGGUGCCACCAACAUCCCCUGGGUGCUGGACUCAGGCAUCAGGAGAAGGUUUGAGAAGAGGAUCUACAUCGCCUUGCCCGACGAGGCGGCGCGGGCCCAGAUGUUCCGGCUGCAUCUGGGGAACACCCCGCACUCCCUGACAGAUGCCAACAUCCAGGAGCUCGCCCGCAAGACCGAGCGCUACUCGGGGGCUGACAUCAGCAUCAUCGUGAGGGAUGCCCUGAUGCAGCCCGUGCGCAAGGUGCAGUCGGCCACGCACUUCAAGAAGGUGCGUGGCCCCUCCCGCACCACCCCCAGUGCCCUCGUGGAUGAUCUCCUGACACCAUGCUCGCCCGGUGACCCUGGGGCCAUAGAGAUGACCUGGAUGGAGGUGCCCAGUGACAAGCUGAUGGAGCCCAUUGUCUGCAUGUCAGACAUGCUGCGCUCGCUGGCCACCACCCGCCCCACCGUCAAUGACGAGGAUCUCCUCAAAGUGAAGAAAUUCACAGAGGACUUUGGACAGGAAGGUUGAGGGGGGCAUGGGGGGUGUGGGGUUCUGGGGCAGCUGCAGGCCCCACCGUGCCCCCCUCCCCAGCCGUGCCAAACCAACUCAUGAUCGCUCACUCCUGCCCCACUGCACUGCAGCACCCGGCAGCUCCAGCCUGGUGCCCCCUCUGCUGUGCCCAACUGCUGCCCACACUGUGAUCACGAGCCCCAGAGGAGAGGAUCCCCCUUUGCCCCUACCCUGCACAGCCUUGGCAGCAGGUCGUCCCGAGACCCACAGAGGAAUUCCCUGUGCCCAGGGGAGUAUGGGCUGACUCCAGCUGCCUCCCCAUGAAGACCCGUGGGCAAGAAGGGCCAGAGCCAUGCUGAGGCCACAGGUCUGUAUUGGCUGCAAUAAAGC